AUUGAACGCUGGCGGCAGGCCUAACACAUGCAAGUCGAGCGGAUGAAGGGAGCUUGCUCCUGGAUUCAGCGGCGGACGGGUGAGUAAUGCCUAGGAAUCUGCCUGGUAGUGGGGGAUAACGUCCGGAAACGGGCGCUAAUACCGCAUACGUCCUGAGGGAGAAAGUGGGGGAUCUUCGGACCUCACGCUAUCAGAUGAGCCUAGGUCGGAUUAGCUAGUUGGUGGGGUAAAGGCCUACCAAGGCGACGAUCCGUAACUGGUCUGAGAGGAUGAUCAGUCACACUGGAACAGAGACAGGGUCCAGACUCCUACGGGAGGCAGCAGUGGGGAAUAUUGGACAAUGGGCGAAAGCCUGAUCCAGCCAUGUCGCGUGUGUGAAGAAGGUCUUCGGAUUGUAAAGCAAUUUAAGUUGGGAGGAAGGGCAGUAAGUUAAUACCUUGCUGUUUUGACGUUACCAACAGAAUAAGCACCGGCUAACUUCGUG
Molecule: ribosomal RNA, 484 nt
Filed under: uncultured bacterium
Lineage: Bacteria
Description: partial 16S ribosomal RNA
Rfam family: Bacterial small subunit ribosomal RNA
Source: RNAcentral